CCAACAUCCCACUGCUGCCCCGCAGUGCAAGCUGGAGCAGCAGGCGUGCCUGGCCAGCAAGCAGCUGACGGUGCGGUGCGAGGGGCAGUGCCCCUGCCCGACCCCACACAGCCCCACCAGCGAUGCCAAGCAAGGUGAGCAGGAUGGGGGGCAACCUGGGGGGCGUCCCCGAGCCCUGCUUGGCUUGAUGGUCCCCCUCUCCACCCCCCAGAGCUGUGCACGGGGCAGGACCUGGCUGAUCUGGGUGACCGCCUGCGCGACUGGUUCCAGCUCCUGAGGGAGAACGCCAAGCAGAAUGGCUCUGGGGGUCUCCCCGCCAGCCCCACCACUGCGCUGGAGAGGAGCGUGGCAGCCAGCUGCAAGGAGGCGGUGGGGUGGAUGUUUGCCCGGUUGGACACCAGCAGGGACCUCUUCCUGGAGGCGGCCGAGCUGGCCGCCAUCAACCUGGACAAGUACGAGGUGUGCAUCCGAGCCUUCUUCAACUCCUGUGACACCUCCAAGGACGGACGCGUCUCCGCUCCCGAGUGGUGCUUCUGCUUCUGGAGGGAAAGUGCGUGGCGUGACGUGGUGUGACGUGGUGGCUGGGGUGGGGUGGGGGGGAAGGCUGCUGUGGGGAUGGGGGUUGUACCCCAUG
Molecule: long non-coding RNA, 634 nt
Filed under: Calidris pugnax (ruff)
Lineage: Eukaryota; Metazoa; Chordata; Aves; Charadriiformes; Scolopacidae
Description: lncRNA (ENSCPUG00000013078.1)
Source: RNAcentral